AGAUGUGAGGGCGAUCUGGCUGCGACAUCUGUCACCCCAUUGAUGGCCAGGGUUGAUUCGGCUGAUUUUGCUGGCUAGGCGGGUGUCCCCUUCUUCCCUCAUCGCUCCAUGUGCGUCCCUCCCAAAGCUGAGUGCUCGGUUGAAGAGGACGGCCUUCCCCAAAUAGAGAUGGACCGGUCUUCAGUUGAGGGUAUACGAGUAGCUGCGCUCCCCUGGUAGAACCUCCAAACAAGCUCUCCAACUAUCAAUAACUAUUUAAAUUGUGGCUCUUUAAAUAAAAAAAAAAAUUAGGUAAACUGAUUCCUACUUCUCUUU
Molecule: small nuclear RNA, 315 nt
Filed under: Sorex araneus (European shrew)
Lineage: Eukaryota; Metazoa; Chordata; Mammalia; Eulipotyphla; Soricidae
Description: 7SK RNA (ENSSARG00000016543.1)
Rfam family: 7SK RNA
About the family: 7SK was discovered as an abundant small nuclear RNA in the mid-70s but a possible function has only recently been suggested.
Source: RNAcentral